This 433-nucleotide ribosomal RNA is filed under the name uncultured bacterium. Its description in RNAcentral is "partial 16S ribosomal RNA". It matches the Rfam family "Bacterial small subunit ribosomal RNA", at positions 29 to 507 of the family's 1533-position model. The record is from RNAcentral.
AACGAACGCUGGCGGCAUGCCUAACACAUGCAAGUCGAACGAGACCUUCGGGUCUAGUGGCGCACGGGUGCGUAACGCGUGGGAACCUGCCCUUAGGUUCGGAAUAACUCCCCGAAAGGGGUGCUAAUACCGGAUAAUGUCUUCGGACCAAAGAUUUAUCGCCUUUGGAUGGGCCCGCGUUGGAUUAGCUAGUUGGUAGGGUAAAAGCCUACCAAGGCGACGAUCCAUAGCUGGUCUGAGAGGAUGAUCAGCCACACUGGGACUGAGACACGGCCCAGACUCUUACGGGAGGGAGGAGAGGGGGAUAUUGGACAAUGGGCGAAAGCCUGAUCCAGCAAUGCCGCGUGAGUGAUGAAGGCCUUAGGGUUGUAAAGCUCUUUUACCCGGGAUGAUAAUGACAGUACCGGGAGAAUAAGCACCGGCUAACUCCGUG